This 253-nucleotide ribosomal RNA is filed under the name uncultured bacterium. Its description in RNAcentral is "partial 16S ribosomal RNA". It matches the Rfam family "Bacterial small subunit ribosomal RNA", at positions 524 to 776 of the family's 1533-position model. The record is from RNAcentral.
UACGAAGGGGGCUAGCGUUGCUCGGAAUCACUGGGCGUAAAGGGCGCGUAGGCGGAUCUUUAAGUCGGGGGUGAAAUCCUGGAGCUCAACUCCAGAACUGCCUUUGAUACUGGCGAGCUCGAGUUCGGGAGAGGUGAGUGGAACUGCGAGUGUAGAGGUGAAAUUCGUAGAUAUUCGCAAGAACACCAGUGGCGAAGGCGGCUCACUGGCCCGAUACUGACGCUGAGGUGCGAAAGCGUGGGGAGCAAACAGG